ACGGAAGGCAGCAGUGGGGAAUAUUGCACAAUGGGCGAAAGCCUGAUGCAGCGACGCCGCGUGAACGAAGAAGUAUUUCGGUAUGUAAAGUUCUAUCAGCAGGGAAGAUAAUGACGGUACCUGACUAAGAAGCACCGGCUAAAUACGUGCCAGCAGCCGCGGUAAUACGUAUGGUGCAAGCGUUAUCCGGAUUUACUGGGUGUAAAGGGAGCGCAGGCGGCGCGGCAAGUCUGAAGUGAAAUCCCGGGGCUCAACCCCGGAACUGCUUUGGAAACUGUCGUGCUAGAGUGUCGGAGGGGUAAGCGGAAUUCCUAGUGUAGCGGUGAAAUGCGUAGAUAUUAGGAGGAACACCAGUGGCGAAGGCGGCUUGCUGGACGACAACUGACGCUGAGGCGCGAAAGCGUGGGGAGCAAACAGGAUUAGAUACCCUGGUA
Molecule: ribosomal RNA, 434 nt
Filed under: uncultured Lachnospiraceae bacterium
Lineage: Bacteria; Bacillati; Bacillota; Clostridia; Lachnospirales; Lachnospiraceae
Description: bacterial SSU rRNA
Rfam family: Bacterial small subunit ribosomal RNA
Source: RNAcentral